UGUCGCGGCAGCUGUGCGUGGGACGUCUUCGGACGUGCCGGUUCUUCUGAUUCCCGGUCGGUCAACCCGCGUACAGCUGCCCCUUUU
This 87-nucleotide non-coding RNA is filed under the name Pseudomonas sp. 43mfcvi1.1. The record is from RNAcentral. Lineage: Bacteria; Pseudomonadati; Pseudomonadota; Gammaproteobacteria; Pseudomonadales; Pseudomonadaceae.